Molecule: ribosomal RNA, 422 nt
Filed under: uncultured bacterium
Lineage: Bacteria
Description: bacterial SSU rRNA
Rfam family: Bacterial small subunit ribosomal RNA
Source: RNAcentral
UAAGGAAUAUUGGGCAAUGGAGGCAACUCUGACCCAGCCAUGCCGCGUGAAGGAUGAAGGCUUUCUGAGUCGUAAACUUCUUUUAUACGGGAAGAAAACGCCCUGCGGGGUUUAUUGACGGUACCGUAUGAAUAAGCACCGGCUAACUCCGUGCCAGCAGCCGCGGUAAUACGGAGGGUGCGAGCGUUGUCCGGAAUUAUUGGGUUUAAAGGGUGCGUAGGCGGAAGAUUAAGUCAGGGGUGAAAUCCCGCAGCUCAACUGCGGAACUGCCCUUGAUACUGGUUUUCUUGAGUUCGGUUGAGGCAGGCGGAAUUUAUGAUGUAGCGGUGAAAUGCAUAGAUAUCAUAAAGAACACCGAUUGCGAAGGCAGCCUGCUGGGCCGUUACUGACGCUGAGGCACGAAAGCGUGGGGAGCGAACAGG